Molecule: unclassified non-coding RNA, 252 nt
Filed under: plant metagenome
Description: partial contains small subunit ribosomal RNA, internal transcribed spacer 1, and 5.8S ribosomal RNA
Rfam family: Eukaryotic small subunit ribosomal RNA (bases 1-54)
Source: RNAcentral
GGAAGUAAAAGUCGUAAUAAGGUCUCCGUAGGUGAACCUGCGGAGGGAUCAUUACAGAGUUCUCGCCCUCACGGGUAGAUCCCCCACCCACUGUUAUCGUUACUGUCGUUUCUUUGGCGGGCCGCCAGGUCCCUGGCCGCUGGCGCCUAGCUGCCAGCGCGCGCCCGCCAGAGGCCUUCAAACUCUGAAUGUUAGCGUCGUCUGAGUACUAUACAAUAGUUAAAACUUUCAACAACGGAUCUCUUGGUUCUG